RNAcentral lists this ribosomal RNA (468 nucleotides) under uncultured bacterium. RNAcentral describes it as "partial 16S ribosomal RNA". It matches the Rfam family "Bacterial small subunit ribosomal RNA", at positions 28 to 507 of the family's 1533-position model. The record is from RNAcentral.
GACGAACGCUGGCGGCGUGCUUAACACAUGCAAGUCGAACGGAAAGGCCCUGCUUUUGUGGGGCGCUCGAGUGGCGAACGGGUGAGUAACACGUGAGUAAACUGCCCUUGACUUUGGGAUAACUUCAGGAAACUGGGGCUCAUACCGGAUAGGAGCUCCUGCUGCAUGGGGGGGGUUGGAAAGAUUCGGCGGUUGGGGAUGGACUCGCGGCUUAUCAGCUUGUUGGUGGGGUAGUGGCUUACCAAGGCUUUGACGGGUAGCCGGCCUGAGCGGGUGACCGGCCACAUUGGGACUGAGAUACGGCCCAGACUCCUACGGGAGGCAGCAGUGGGGAAUAUUGCACAAUGGGCGGAAGCCUGAUGCAGCAACGCCGCGUGCGGGAUGCCGGCCUUCGGGUUGUAAACCGCUUUCGCCUGUGACGAAGCGUGAGUGACGGUAAUGGGUAAAGAAGCACCGGCUAACUACGUG